CCUACGGGAGGCAGCAGUGAGGAAUAUUGGUCAAUGGGCGCGAGCCUGAACGAGCCAAGUAGCGUGAAGGAUGACUGCCCUACGGGUUGUAAACUUCUUUUAUAAAGGAAUAAAGUGAGGCAAGUGUGCCUUUUUGGAUGUACUUUAUGAAUAAGGAUCGGCUAACUCCGUGCCAGCAGCCGCGGUAAUACGGAGGAUCCGAGCGUUAUCCGGAUUUAUUGGGUUUAAAGGGAGCGUAGAUGGGUUGUUAAGUCAGUUGUGAAAGUUUGCGGCUCAACCGUAAAAUUGCAAUUGAUACUGGCAGUCUUGAGUACAGAUGAGGUAGGCGGAAUUCGUUGUGUAGCGGUGAAAUGCUUAGAUAUCACGAAGAACUCCGAUUGCGAAGGCAGCUUACUAAACUGCCACUGACAUUGAUGCUCGAAAGUGUGGGUAUCAAACAGGAUUAGAUACCCCAGUAGUC
This 460-nucleotide ribosomal RNA is filed under the name uncultured bacterium. Its description in RNAcentral is "partial 16S ribosomal RNA". It matches the Rfam family "Bacterial small subunit ribosomal RNA", at positions 338 to 795 of the family's 1533-position model. The record is from RNAcentral.